AACAGGAUUAGAUACCCUGGUAGUCCACGCCGUAAACGAUGAGUGCUAGGUGUUGGGGGGUUCCCCCUCAGUGCCGAAGGUAACCCAUUAAGCACUCCGCCUGGGGAGUACGGCCGCAAGGCUGAAACUCAAAGGAAUUGACGGGGGCCCGCACAAGUGGUGGAGCAUGUGGUUUAAUUCGAAGCAACGCGAAGAACCUUACCAGGGCUUGACAUCCCGCUGACCGGUGUAGAGAUACACCUUCCCUUCGGGGCAGCGGUGACAGGUGGUGCAUGGUUGUCGUCAGCUCGUGUCGUGAGAUGUUGGGUUCAGUCCCGCAACGAGCGCAACCCUUGUCGUCAGUUGCCAGCACAUUCAGGUGGGCACUCUGGCGAGACAGCCGGUGAAAGCCGGAGGAAGGUGGGGAUGACGUCAAAUCAUCAUGCCCCUUAUGUCCUGGGCUACACACGUGCUACAAUGGCCGGUACAACGGGCAGCGAACCCGUGAGGGGGAGCCAAUCCCAAAAAACCGGUCUCAGUUCGGAUCGCAGGCUGCAACUCGCCUGCGUGAAGCUGGAAUCGCUAGUAAUCGCGGAUCAGCAUGCCGCGGUGAAUCCGUUCCCGGGCCUUGUACACACCGCCCGUCACACCACGAGAGUCUGCAACACCCGAAGUCGGUGAGGUAACCUUCGGGAACCAGCCGCCGAAGGUGGGGCAGAUGAUUGGGGUGAAGUCGUAACAAGGUAACC
Molecule: ribosomal RNA, 728 nt
Filed under: uncultured bacterium
Lineage: Bacteria
Description: bacterial SSU rRNA
Rfam family: Bacterial small subunit ribosomal RNA
Source: RNAcentral